Molecule: ribosomal RNA, 1173 nt
Filed under: uncultured Bacteroides sp.
Lineage: Bacteria; Pseudomonadati; Bacteroidota; Bacteroidia; Bacteroidales; Bacteroidaceae
Description: bacterial SSU rRNA
Rfam family: Bacterial small subunit ribosomal RNA
Source: RNAcentral
AGUUUGAUCCUGGCUCAGGAUGAACGCUAGCUACAGGCUUAACACAUGCAAGUCGAGGGGCAGCAUUUUAGUUUGCUUGCAAACUAAAGAUGGCGACCGGCGCACGGGUGAGUAACACGUAUCCAACCUGCCGAUAACUCGGGGAUAGCCUUUCGAAAGAAAGAUUAAUAUCCGAUAGUAUAUUAAAACCGCAUGGUUUUACUAUUAAAGAAUUUCGGUUAUCGAUGGGGAUGCGUUCCAUUAGUUUGUUGGCGGGGUAACGGCCCACCAAGACUACGAUGGAUAGGGGUUCUGAGAGGAAGGUCCCCCACAUUGGAACUGAGACACGGUCCAAACUCCUACGGGAGGCAGCAGUGAGGAAUAUUGGUCAAUGGACGAGAGUCUGAACCAGCCAAGUAGCGUGAAGGAUGACUGCCCUAUGGGUUGUAAACUUCUUUUAUAUGGGAAUAAAGUAUUCCACGUGUGGGAUUUUGUAUGUACCAUAUGAAUAAGGAUCGGCUAACUCCGUGCCAGCAGCCGCGGUAAUACGGAGGAUCCGAGCGUUAUCCGGAUUUAUUGGGUUUAAAGGGAGCGUAGGUGGAUUGUUAAGUCAGUUGUGAAAGUUUGCGGCUCAACCGUAAAAUUGCAGUUGAAACUGGCAGUCUUGAGUACAGUAGAGGUGGGCGGAAUUCGUGGUGUAGCGGUGAAAUGCUUAGAUAUCACGAAGAACUCCGAUUGCGAAGGCAGCUCACUAGACUGCAACUGACACUGAUGCUCGAAAGUGUGGGUAUCAAACAGGAUUAGAUACCCUGGUAGUCCACACAGUAAACGAUGAAUACUCGCUGUUUGCGAUAUACAGUAAGCGGCCAAGCGAAAGCAUUAAGUAUUCCACCUGGGGAGUACGCCGGCAACGGUGAAACUCAAAGGAAUUGACGGGGGCCCGCACAAGCGGAGGAACAUGUGGUUUAAUUCGAUGAUACGCGAGGAACCUUACCCGGGCUUAAAUUGCAUUUGAAUAAUCUGGAAACAGGUUAGCCGCAAGGCAAAUGUGAAGGUGCUGCAUGGUUGUCGUCAGCUCGUGCCGUGAGGUGUCGGCUUAAGUGCCAUAACGAGCGCAACCCUUAUCUUUAGUUACUAACAGGUCAUGCUGAGGACUCUAGAGAGACUGCCGUCGUAAGAUGUGAGGAAGGUGGA